AUUGAACGCUGGCGGCAGGCUUAACACAUGCAAGUCGAGCGGGGGAAGGUAGCUUGCUACCGGACCUAGCGGCGGACGGGUGAGUAAUGCUUAGGAAUCUGCCUAUUAGUGGGGGACAACAUCUCGAAAGGGAUGCUAAUACCGCAUACGUCCUACGGGAGAAGGCAGGGGAUCUUCGGACCUUGCGCUAAUAGAUGAGCCUAAGUCGGAUUAGCUAGUUGGUGGGGUAAAGGCCUACCAAGGCGACGAUCUGUAGCGGGUCUGAGAGGAUGAUCCGCCACACUGGGACUGAGACACGGCCCAGACUCCUACGGGAGGCAGCAGUGGGGAAUAUUGGACAAUGGGGGGAACCCUGAUCCAGCCAUGCCGCGUGUGUGAAGAGGGCCUUAUGGUUGUAAAGCACUUUAAGCGAGGAGGAGGCUACUUUAGUUAAUACCUAGAGAUAGUGGACGUUACUCGCAGAAUAAGCACCGGCUAACUCUGUGCCAGCCGCCGCCGUAA
RNAcentral lists this ribosomal RNA (501 nucleotides) under uncultured bacterium. Its description in RNAcentral is "partial 16S ribosomal RNA". It matches the Rfam family "Bacterial small subunit ribosomal RNA", at positions 30 to 523 of the family's 1533-position model. The record is from RNAcentral.